Molecule: ribosomal RNA, 564 nt
Filed under: uncultured bacterium
Lineage: Bacteria
Description: partial 16S ribosomal RNA
Rfam family: Bacterial small subunit ribosomal RNA
Source: RNAcentral
UGGGGAAUAUUGCACAAUGGGCGAAAGCCUGAUGCAGCAACGCCGCGUGAGUGAUGAAGGCCUUCGGGUUGUAAAGCUCUGUCUUUUGGGACGAUAAUGACAGUACCAAAGGAGGAAGCCACGGCUAACUACGUGCCAGCAGCCGCGGUAAUACGUAGGUGGCAAGCGUUGUCCGGAUUUACUGGGCGUAAAGGAUGCGUAGGCGGAUUUUUAAGUGAGAUGUGAAAACCCUAAGCUUAACUUGGGGACUGCAUUUCAUACUGGAAAUCUAGAGUGCGGGAGAGGAGAAUGGAAUUCCUAGUGUAGCGGUGAAAUGCGUAGAGAUUAGGAAGAACACCAGUGGCGAAGGCGAUUCUCUGGACCGUAACUGACGCUGAGGCAUGAAAGCGUGGGUAGCAAACAGGAUUAGAUACCCUGGUAGUCCACGCCGUAAACGAUGAGUACUAGGUGUAGGAGGUAUCGACCCCUUCUGUGCCGCAGUUAACACAAUAAGUACUCCGCCUGGGAAGUACGAUCGCAAGAUUAAAACUCAAAGGAAUUGACGGGGGUCAUAGCUGUUUUCCU